UGUUCUUCCUCUCUGGACCAAAAAAAGAAGAACCCAAUUCCUCCACGUCGUUUUCUCGAAUAGCUCAAGUGUUGUUGAAUUUCGCCAAGUGAAUAACGGUAGAUCCGUCACUGGUUUCAAUUCUGAGUAGGGAUCGGAGGGCGUGAUGGUGUCAAGAGGAUUGUUAGCAAAUGAUGACCGAUAAGCUAGAGAAAUAUCAACACAUGCUUUAGAAUCUCGUUGUUAAAGCUCAACAGGCUGCAGCAGUAGUUGUUCUGCGCAAGCAGAACUAAGUUAUGGGCCGCUAAUAACAGAUGUGCUGCAUUUCCUCAUCCCGUUGGCACACAACCAACUUAAGGUUGGUGCCUCACUCACAGAUAUAGAACCAGUCCUUUCAGAGUGACUUCCACGUUGGAAAAUUUUGUUUGUAACUCAACUCUGUUACAUAUCAUGUGCACUUAGUCACAUCUUAUUACUGUGUUGUAAAGAGUGAUACUAGUAUAUCCAAUUGCUACCAUCUUUUUCCAUUAUUCACGCUGUGAAUAUUUUUAACCCAUGUUUCCUAUUUUAUAUCUUUUUAGUUGAGCAGUUAGUUAUUGUGGAACUCUUUACCGUCAUAAAUGUCAAUACCUAAAGAGUUUAUGUGUAUUUUUGCUAUUCGUCAAAGUGAAGUGUAAUUAUUGAGGAGUCAAAAAUGGCCCGCCUCUACAUUUUGAUUUAUGACAAAUAGGUCUAAUAACAGAAGGAAACGCAUAUGUUAAU
This is a non-coding RNA of Arachis ipaensis, 741 nucleotides long. NCBI's taxonomy places the organism in Eukaryota, Viridiplantae, Streptophyta, Magnoliopsida, Fabales, Fabaceae. The record is from RefSeq and is a predicted model, not a curated record.